Molecule: long non-coding RNA, 727 nt
Organism: Cebus imitator (Panamanian white-faced capuchin)
Lineage: Eukaryota; Metazoa; Chordata; Mammalia; Primates; Cebidae
Exons: 3
Source: RefSeq, a predicted model, not a curated record
CCCACGCACCUCCAACCCCACCCCACUCACCAGAUUGGGGCACAGGCCAAACGCCCCCAGCCCCUCCCCACCUCUAAUCCCCUCCCUAAACCCGGAGAGGAGGGGAGAGGGAGGCGGAAUCCCCCCCUCCGAUAGGGACCCCGGCCAAUUCCCUCCCCUCUCCUUCCCCAAACUCACUAAGUCUUGUCUACACCAGGGCAGGAUCUGGUUAAUUGGAGAAAAUCUGGCCUCCAUGAGUCUGCUGCAGCUGUUAUCCACGCGGGGAUGCAGGAUGCAUUUCCAGAGACGCAGCCGGCUCCGCAACCGGACACCUCGCCAGCGCCAGGGACAAUGGGGGCUGAGGCCAGGCGGAAUUAGGCUGGGACAGAAGGCGAGCGGAUCUGAACGACAAAGUACACCAAGGAGAUGCCGCCGGGGUGGCAUGAGAAUGCAGAUGUGGAAUCGUGCAUAAAGAUCCCUUGCUUUUGAAGGGGGACGGAUCAUCUACCUGUAAGAAGGAAAAUGAUGUCCACAUAAGCUUGACCCUUGUCUCCCUGGUGAGACUGUAACCUGUCUGAGAUCAGGGACCCUUUAACCCGAUUCCUCACCCUCCAGCCCAAGAGCUAGAGCUGACCCCAAAAUGUACAUUUGCCAAGGCUCUCUCACUCCAUCAAAAGGAGAAAUUAAUCCUGUUUUCUCUAAUUCCAGUCACUAAAAUCUUCUUUACCAGAAUAACAAUAAAAUCACA